UACCGCAUAAGCCCACGGGUCGGCAUCGAUCUGAGGGAAAAGGAGCAAUCCGCUUUGAGAUGGCCUCGCGUCCGAUUAGCUAGUUGGUGAGGUAACGGCCCACCAAGGCGACGAUCGGUAGCCGGACUGAGAGGUUGAACGGCCACAUUGGGACUGAGACACGGCCCAGACUCCUACGGGAGGCAGCAGUGGGGAAUAUUGCACAAUGGGGGAAACCCUGAUGCAGCGACGCCGCGUGGAGGAAGAAGGUCUUCGGAUUGUAAACUCCUGUUGUUGAGGAAGAUAAUGACGGUACUCAACAAGGAAGUGACGGCUAACUACGUGCCAGCAGCCGCGGUAAAACGUAGGUCACAAGCGUUGUCCGGAAUUACUGGGUGUAAAGGGAGCGCAGGCGGGAAGACAAGUUGGAAGUGAAAUCUAUGGGCUCAACCCAUAAACUGCUUUCAAAACUGUUUUUCUUGAGUAGUGCAGAGGUAGGCGGAAUUCCCGGUGUAGCGGUGGAAUGCGUAGAUAUCGGGAGGAACACCAGUGGCGAAGGCGGCCUACUGGGCACCAACUGACGCUGAGGCUCGAAAGUGUGGGUAGCAAACAGGAUUAGAUACCCUGGUAGUCCACACCGUAAACGAUGAUUACUAGGUGUUGGAGGAUUGACCCCUUCAGUGCCGCAGUUAACACAAUAAGUAAUCCACCUGGGGAGUACGACCGCAAGGUUGAAGCUCAAAGGAAUUGACGGGGGCCCGCACAAGCAGUGGAGUAUGUGGUUUAAUUCGACGCAACGCGAAGAACCUUACCAAGUCUUGACAUCCCUUGACGAACAUAGAAAUAUGUUUUCUCUUCGGAGCAAGGAGACAGGUGGUGCAUGGUUGUCGUCAGCUCGUGUCGUGAGAUGUUGGGUUAAGUCCCGCAACGAGCGCAACCCUUAUGGUCAGUUACUACGCAAGAGGACUCUGGCCAGACUGCCGUUGACAAAACGGAGGAAGGUGGGGAUGACGUCAAAUCAUCAUGCCCUUUAUGACCUGGGCUACACACGUACUACAAUGGCGUUAAACAAAGAGAAGCAAGACCGCGAGGUGGAGCAAAACUCAGAAACAACGUCCCAGUUCGGACUGCAGGCUGCAACUCGCCUGCACGAAGUCGGAAUUGCUAGUAAUCGUGGAUCAGCAUGCCACGGUGAAUACGUUCCCGGGCCUUGCAAU
Molecule: ribosomal RNA, 1196 nt
Filed under: uncultured bacterium
Lineage: Bacteria
Description: bacterial SSU rRNA
Rfam family: Bacterial small subunit ribosomal RNA
Source: RNAcentral